This is a non-coding RNA of Acanthosepion pharaonis, 88 nucleotides long. The record is from the annotation of a GenBank genome assembly. NCBI's taxonomy places the organism in Eukaryota, Metazoa, Mollusca, Cephalopoda, Sepiida, Sepiidae.
UACACUGGUUCUCGUACGACCACCGAAAUUAAGCAAUAUUGAGCCUGGUCAGUACAUGGAUGGGUGAUCGCUUUGGAAUACCAGGUGU